RNAcentral lists this ribosomal RNA (339 nucleotides) under Triticum aestivum (bread wheat). RNAcentral describes it as "partial small subunit ribosomal RNA". Lineage: Eukaryota; Viridiplantae; Streptophyta; Magnoliopsida; Poales; Poaceae. The record is from RNAcentral.
AUGCGGCAAGGGUGCCGCCGUCCUUAUGACAGAGAAAGAGUGGUCCGGGUCCGGCAGUACACGUGGUCCAGCAUGCCGGUGAGGCCUGGACGGGAAGCCGCCAUUCUCCCAAUACCAACAUGCGGAAGAGAAGUAGUUGUUGUCCUUAUGGUGAUAGUACAACGGUAUUAUCGUCCCAGUCUCAGCUCCAAGGCUCCGGUGUGUUUGCUCGACACAUGGAGCUCCGGUUUCUCAGCACGAGUGUCAGAUAAUCAUGUUGGGGAGCAAGAGUUGCCAAUGCCACCAACUCUAGAAGGGUUAGCAUCUUUGAAAGCAAAAUCCACUAAAGGGAAGAAUUGA